UCACAAUAAAUAAAUAAAUAAAAUGAAUGGAGACGUGACUCUGCCCUUGCCCUAGUAAGCGAACCGCCGCAUACUGUUGUUCUUCCCCGCUCGCGCAGGCGGAACGAUGUUUGCUUCUGGUCUCCGAUUGGAUCUCUCCCACAGGUCUCGCCUGUCUUUCGUAUGGGAGAAUCGGCAUGGAUCGGAUGACUCUGUUCCGGAGCGGCGUCAUCGCCGAGGCGGCUCUUACUGGCAUUCCUCCGGUAGGGUCUGCCGUCUUCCAAUCCCUAAACGAGUCCGGUAAAAUAAAUUUGUGCUUGGCCAUUGACUAUGUCGUCUGUUCCGCCGACGGGAUAGCCAGUCGCGGCCUCAUUCACAUGGCUGCGGCCGCACUCGAUCUCGUGAAAUCUGGCAUGCAGAUGAGUGUGUUCAUGUUAAUUAAGUCUUCUAGAGUUUUGAUCAUGCCUCUGCCGGAUCCGGUUAACUGGCAUCUCGCGAUCGACAAGAUCUAUUUGACGAAGAUCCAUAAUUUCUACUACUGUUUAGUUCAACACAAAUUUCACUCGGAAUAAUUUCAGAUCUACUCGUCGAAGUACAAGAGCAUCUCCACUUAUUCGGCCUCUUGCUAAAAGACCAAAGGGUAUCGGUGCUGACACUGCUACGAUACAAAGCUCUAGGGAGUUGCAAGUUCGGAUUUUAUUAGUUGUGGAAGAAGUAUUACUGUGAUAUCGUUGGCCCGGAGUAUGCUAUCAAAAUAUAACACUCUAAUCUACCUGGCCCCCUUUAAGGCUGUUAAGUGCGAGUGCUGAGGGUUUGCUUGAGAUUUGAGUGAUGGACUACUCAGUUUUGUUAAAUCAGAAGGAGCAUUGGUGUAUGAUCUUUUCUUACUGGCUCUUGACUAAAUUUUCAUUUGAUCUGCUUGAUAAUUAAGAUUGGGGUCUUAAUGCAGGAUGUACUAGGUGGCUACUCCCACUUCAAGAAUGUCAGAUUUCUCAUGAGUUUAUUUAUUUUUUUUGUUACACUCUUUGAUUUUGAUUAGCUUUUUAUGAUUGUUAUUUUGUUUAUUGUGUAUUCUUUCUAGACCAUAAAUUCAUAUUUGCCCAACGUCAAGAUAAGUAAGCAAAGAAAAAGUUUUUUUUUUUUUUUUGCAUGUUCUUGAUGAAAAUUGUUACUAAGAAAUGUGGUUCAUCCAUCAUGAUAACUGUUAAUGCUGGUAACUUGCAAGUGUCACAAUUGUCCUUCCAAUUGAUCCUUUCUGUUACUAGGGAAAUCUUAUAUGGCUUAGUUUGACAAUACUUUGGACUCUAGAUUUGUUUCCCUUCUAUUUUUGGUUUCUUCUUGAGUCACUACUCCCUAUGAAUAUUGAUACAAGUAAAUUAAGCCAUGUGUUUCAACUACUUGGAUUGACCACUAGAUGUUAUUCUACCACAGACCUCUAUGGAAGGAAAUUCUCAUUAGCAAUACUUGUUAAUUUAAUUAACCAUAUUUGUUUACAUUGACAGUGGUAUAUUUUCCUAUAUUUACUAUUGUUUUUUGAUUAACAGAUCCAGACAACUAUUUUUUAUGAAUUAACUAUUUUUAAGAAAAAAACUAUGGACCAAGUUAAGUGAAUUUUCAAUAGCAGUUUUAAAUUUCUCCAAAACUAGAUUUAUGAAAUUUCACAAAUGACAUGCCUUAGUGUUAAGCUUCCUUGUAUAAUACCUUUGACCAAUGCACUCUUUCCAUUAGCAAUGGUACAUAAUUAAAACUAUCUACAUUUCCUGCCUUUUAUUCUCUACCUUUGUCAUUACUUUUGUUGCCUCCAUGUAUCUUUAUUCUAAUUCUGUGUGAAUGUCAAAAAAAGUAGAGUUCAUGCAUAUUACUAUAUAUAUAUAUUUUUCUUUCAGAUGUAGUCAAAAGGUAUUAACAUCAGAAACACAAAAUUGAAGGUAUUGGAAUGCUCAUUGUUUUGUUCCUGUAAUUGAUUACCAGAUGUUUUAACUGCUUAUCACUCUAUUGUUGUUUUAUUUAGUCUUGAAGGCAGAAAAAGUUUUAGAAUCACUUACACGCCUAUCCUAGAUUACCAUUUUUUGAAAUCUAUUCCAUAUUCGUUAAUGACUUAGGCAUUCUCCUUUUUCAUUCUAUUAAAAUCCACUAAUUCAAUCAUGCUCAUGUUGCCUGUUUUUUCUCAUUAUUCUUCUCUUAACAUUCAAAUAAUUUACAGGUGUUUAAUGUUGUUAUUUUCUUUCAUGCAUGAUUGUCUUUUACCUUUAAUCAUAUACUAUUGCUAAUAUAUGAAUGCAUUAUGUAGGGUAAACCAACUAUUAAUGAUAUUUGAUCAGCACAUUUCUGGCCAUGUAGGUUGGCUUCAUGCCUAUGCUAAAGAUUUUGGCCAUGUAACGUCCGGAAUUGUGGUUUUCAUAAUAUUAGGCUUCUCUUACAUCACACGCAAUUUGAAAAAAGGCAUAUGUUGGUACCAUGAUGAGAUCAUUUAAAACUUGUUGAAACUGCCUACAAAUAAUCUUUUUUCACAACCAAAGAGCUGGUGUAGCAAACAGUCCAGCUUAGAUUGAGUUUUGUUGGUGUUUUUCUGUGUGAUUGUUUCUCAUUUUGUGGACAAUCUUCUCUCUUUCCUAAACAACACCAAGGGCUGUUGGUGAUGUACGGUUUGCCAUUUUUCUCAUUUGAAAUUUCAUGUUUAAUUUUUCAUGUACAGAUAAUGUCUUUUCCCAUAAACUAGGCUGUGAAUAAACUUGGGCUAGUUUUGCUAGCGAGCUUUCCUUUGGUAUAAUAAUGAGUAGAACUCUUAACGGUGCUCAAUGGGGAACUAUGACGCAUUCAAAGUUUUGGUUGGCCUGUUAGUACCCUCCUAUUUCUCAGUCUUCUGUUGAUGUGAAAGUAAUAUGCUUUACACAACUGGAGUGGCUCUGCUGCUUUUCCUGUUGCAGAGGUAUGAUGACAGGAAAGCAGUUGCUUAAUUGUGUAGAGAUUCUUUUUGCAGCCUUAAAGUUUUUUGUCAAAGAUUUAUAUUCUUUCAGAACAAUGCAUUAUUUACUUUCAAGAUUUAUCGAUCUUUUCUAUGAUCUGUUCCUAUUUCCCUGACCAUUCAUUACAUAUGGUGAUAUUUCAUUUGGAAUCCGAUAAAAUAGAAAGGUUGUCAAUAGGUAUGGAAUCUUGACUCUUCAUAGAGGCAAGUUAUGAAACUUUUUUUCUCAUUCUCUUGAGAUUUCUAUGUCAGUGUUUUAUUAUAUGUUUAUCUUAUGUGUAUCUUAUAGGUGUGGAAGCCUCGCUAACAGUAUUCCCUACUAGAUUCCAAUAGUAUUAACACCCUUUGCCCAGUUGUUUAGAACAAUUCCCUACAAUGUUAAACUGCAUUGGCUGGUUAAAACUAAAGCUAAGGUUGCCAAUUUUGACAGCCACAGGUUAUAGGGUUUGGGUUAGGCAAGUUUCAAUAGCAACAUUGAAGCUUAUGCAGAGAAAUAUGGUACAUGCAUACAAGAAACUAGCACAAGGAAGAAAAGAAGGGGAGCAUGUAUGACAUAAAUGUUCACCCGAUACAAUCUUCCAAUAGUUAAAGCUGUAUUUUCCUGCUUGCAAUCCUACAAGAAAGUUUCGCAAUUCUCAAGAUACAGGACAUGUAUUUUCCUGAUUACGAUACUACAAGAAAGUUUAGCAAGUCUCAAGAUACAGGACAUGUAAAUCAAUAAAUUAUAAGACAAGGAAGAAAAGGGGGCUUAUAUUGACAAAUGUUCACCCAAUACCAAUCUUUGGAUAGUUGGAACUCUAUUUUCUUGCUCGUGAUUUGAAGUAUUGCAAUUUUCAAGAUA
Long non-coding RNA from Zingiber officinale, 3785 nucleotides. RefSeq lists it as uncharacterized. The transcript has 2 exons. The record is from RefSeq and is a predicted model, not a curated record. NCBI's taxonomy places the organism in Eukaryota, Viridiplantae, Streptophyta, Magnoliopsida, Zingiberales, Zingiberaceae.